CGGCGAGCGAACGGGGAGCAGCCCAGAGCCUGAAUCAGUGUGUGUGUUAGUGGAAGCGUCUGGAAAGGCGCGCGAUACAGGGUGACAGCCCCGUACACAAAAAUGCACAUGCUGUGAGCUCGAUGAGUAGGGCGGGACACGUGGUAUCCUGUCUGAAUAUGGGGGGACCAUCCUCCAAGGCUAAAUACUCCUGACUGACCGAUAGUGAACCAGUACCGUGAGGGAAAGGCGAAAAGAACCCCGGCGAGGGGAGUGAAAAAGAACCUGAAACCGUGUACGUACAAGCAGUGGGAGCACGCUUAGGCGUGUGACUGCGUACCUUUUGUAUAAUGGGUCAGCGACUUAUAUUCUGUAGCAAGGUUAACCGAAUAGGGGAGCCGAAGGGAAACCGAGUCUUAACUGGGCGUUAAGUUGCAGGGUAUAGACCCGAAACCCGGUGAUCUAGCCAUGGGCAGGUUGAAGGUUGGGUAACACUAACUGGAGGACCGAACCGACUAAUGUUGAAAAAUUAGCGGAUGACUUGUGGCUGGGGGUGAAAGGCCAAUCAAACCGGGAGAUAGCUGGUUCUCCCCGAAAGCUAUUUAGGUAGCGCCUCGUGAAUUCAUCUCCGGGGGUAGAGCACUGUUUCGGCAAGGGGGUCAUCCCGACUUACCAACCCGAUGCAAACUGCGAAUACCGGAGAAUGUUAUCACGGGAGACACACGGCGGGUGCUAACGUCCGUCGUGAAGAGGGAAACAACCCAGACCGCCAGCUAAGGUCCCAAAGUCAUGGUUAAGUGGGAAACGAUGUGGGAAGGCCCAGACAGCCAGGAUGUUGGCUUAGAAGCAGCCAUCAUUUAAAGAAAGCGUAAUAGCUCACUGGUCGAGUCGGCCUGCGCGGAAGAUGUAACGGGGCUAAACCAUGCACCGAAGCUGCGGCAGCGACGCUUAUGCGUUGUUGGGUAGGGGAGCGUUCUGUAAGCCUGUGAAGGUGUGCUGUGAGGCAUGCUGGAGGUAUCAGAAGUGCGAAUGCUGACAUAAGUAACGAUAAAGCGGGUGAAAAGCCCGCUCGCCGGAAGACCAAGGGUUCCUGUCCAACGUUAAUCGGGGCAGGGUGAGUCGACCCCUAAGGCGAGGCCGAAAGGCGUAGUCGAUGGGAAACAGGUUAAUAUUCCUGUACUUGGUGUUACUGCGAAGGGGGGACGGAGAAGGCUAUGUUGGCCGGGCGACGGUUGUCCCGGUUUAAGCGUGUAGGCUGGUUUUCCAGGCAAAUCCGGAAAAUCAAGGCUGAGGCGUGAUGACGAGGCACUACGGUGCUGAAGCAACAAAUGCCCUGCUUCCAGGAAAAGCCUCUAAGCAUCAGGUAACAUCAAAUCGUACCCCAAACCGACACAGGUGGUCAGGUAGAGAAUACCAAGGCGCUUGAGAGAACUCGGGUGAAGGAACUAGGCAAAAUGGUGCCGUAACUUCGGGAGAAGGCACGCUGAUACGUAGGUGAAGUCCCUCGCGGAUGGAGCUGAAAUCAGUCGAAGAUACCAGCUGGCUGCAACUGUUUAUUAAAAACACAGCACUGUGCAAACACGAAAGUGGACGUAUACGGUGUGACGCCUGCCCGGUGCCGGAAGGUUAAUUGAUGGGGUCAGCGCAAGCGAAGCUCUUGAUCGAAGCCCCGGUAAACGGCGGCCGUAACUAUAACGGUCCUAAGGUAGCGAAAUUCCUUGUCGGGUAAGUUCCGACCUGCACGAAUGGCGUAAUGAUGGCCAGGCUGUCUCCACCCGAGACUCAGUGAAAUUGAACUCGCUGUGAAGAUGCAGUGUACCCGCGGCAAGACGGAAAGACCCCGUGAACCUUUACUAUAGCUUGACACUGAACAUUGAGCCUUGAUG
RNAcentral lists this ribosomal RNA (1865 nucleotides) under Escherichia coli. RNAcentral's name for it is "partial 23S ribosomal RNA". It matches the Rfam family "Bacterial large subunit ribosomal RNA", at positions 247 to 2136 of the family's 2925-position model. Lineage: Bacteria; Pseudomonadati; Pseudomonadota; Gammaproteobacteria; Enterobacterales; Enterobacteriaceae. The record is from RNAcentral.